AUUGAACGCUGGCGGCAUGCUUUACACAUGCAAGUCGAAUGGUAACAGGCCUUCGGGUGCUGACGAGUGGCGAACGGGUGAGUAAUGCAUCGGAACGUACCCAGAGGUGGGGGAUAACGCAGCGAAAGCUGUGCUAAUACCGCAUGUGAUCUGAGGAUGAAAGCGGGGGACCGAGCAGCAAUGUUUGGCCUCGCGCCUUUGGAGCGGCCGAUGUCGGAUUAGCUAGUUGGUGGGGUAAAGGCCUACCAAGGCGACGAUCCGUAGCUGGUCUGAGAGGACGACCAGCCACACUGGGACUGAGACACGGCCCAGACUCCUACGGGAGGCAGCAGUGGGGAAUUUUGGACAAUGGGCGCAAGCCUGAUCCAGCAAUGCCGCGUGCGGGAAGAAGGCCUUCGGGUUGUAAACCGCUUUUGGCAGGAACGAAACGGUGUCCGCUAAUACCGGGCGCUAAUGACGGUACCUGCAGAAUAAGCACCGGCUAACUACGUG
This 492-nucleotide ribosomal RNA is filed under the name uncultured bacterium. RNAcentral describes it as "partial 16S ribosomal RNA". It matches the Rfam family "Bacterial small subunit ribosomal RNA", at positions 30 to 507 of the family's 1533-position model. The record is from RNAcentral.